Long non-coding RNA from Triticum urartu, 621 nucleotides. RefSeq lists it as uncharacterized. The record is from RefSeq and is a predicted model, not a curated record. Lineage: Eukaryota; Viridiplantae; Streptophyta; Magnoliopsida; Poales; Poaceae.
AAUGUAAUUCGUGAAAGAAAGGUAACAGGUGACAAUACUUUUGCCUUUUAUUCCAGCUGCGUGAGCGUCUACGGAGCCCGAACAGGGAGUCAACAGUCAGCUACUGUCAGAUCUCGAAAAUGCGGGUUCUUUUAUGACCACCAUGGAUCCCUCACCCCAAGUCAUGAUCCAGUUGCUGAAUGUCCACAAGAAAAUUUAUGUAUUAAAGGGACCUCAUUCCCCAAGCUACUCGACGAAAAAUAAAAUGUAUGCAUGCGCCAAUGAAUUCCAAAAAUUAAUCCUCAUGUGUGUCCAAAUAUUUUGUCUGAGAAGUCCGAAUGUUCAGUGUUGGAAAAGUAUACCUCCCGCUGAUAGAACAAGGGAAAGAUCAUUUCGUUGAUGGCGAGUUCACACUGAUGCUGAUCACCGGCGCGCGUUGGCAGUGUCAUGCUGCUUGGUCGGCACUGCAACUACACAGCUAAACAGGAGAUGAUAGCGUCUCAAACUGGACUUUUUGAUCAUUUGAUAAACGUUUGGAAAUUCAAGCGUGGUCCUCUUCUGCAACCUAUGACCUAUUACUUCUUAAUUUAUGGACUAUAAGUUUCAGUCAUCCCUAUAUCGUCAGGUAAUAUAACAAGGUUG